AAGACUAUAGACCUGCGGAGUACCUGCGGAGGGAUCAUUAUUGAAAUCAAUUGGUUUGGGUUUGUUGCUGGCUUUCUUGAGCAAAUGUGCACACCCAGACCACCUUUUUCAAACCACCAGUGAACCUGCUGUAGACCUGAAGCCAAUCAAACCAGUCGUCAAAAACUUGUUUGGAGUUUGGAUUGCUGUGCAAGUAAUUUGCCAGCUUUGCUUGAAUUCAGGUUUAUGUUUAUAAACACC
RNAcentral lists this unclassified non-coding RNA (240 nucleotides) under soil metagenome. Its description in RNAcentral is "partial contains 5.8S ribosomal RNA, internal transcribed spacer 2, and large subunit ribosomal RNA". The record is from RNAcentral.